This 496-nucleotide ribosomal RNA is filed under the name uncultured bacterium. Its description in RNAcentral is "partial 16S ribosomal RNA". It matches the Rfam family "Bacterial small subunit ribosomal RNA", at positions 29 to 507 of the family's 1533-position model. The record is from RNAcentral.
AUGCACGCUGGCGGCGUGCCUAAUACAUGCCAGUCGAGCGAACAGACGAGGAGCUUGCUCCUCUGACGUUAGCGGCGGACGGGUGAGUAACACGUGGAUAACCUACCUAUAAGACUGGGAUAACUUCGGGAAACCGGAGCUAAUACCGGAUAAUAUAUUGAACCGCAUGGUUCAAUAGUGAAAGACGGUUUUGCUGUCACUUAUAGAUGGAUCCGCGCCGCAUUAGCUAGUUGGUAAGGUAACGGCUUACCAAGGCAACGAUGCGUAGCCGACCUGAGAGGGUGAUCGGCCACACUGGAACUGAGACACGGUCCAGCCUCCUACGGGAGGCAGCAGUAGGGAAUCUUCCGCAAUGGGCGAAAGCCUGACGGAGCAACGCCGCGUGAGUGAUGAAGGUCUUCGGAUCGUAAAACUCUGUUAUUAGGGAAGAACAAAUGUGUAAGUAACUAUGCACGUCUUGACGGUACCUAAUCAGAAAGCCACGGCUAACUACGUG